GCGCACGGGUGCGUAACGCGUAUGCAACCUACCCUAUACAGGGGGAUAGCCCGGAGAAAUCUGGAUUAAUACCCCAUAGCACUAUGUUGAGGCAUUUCGAUAUAGUUAAAGAUUCAUCGGUAUAGGAUGGGCAUGCGUCUGAUUAGCUAGUUGGCGGUGUAACGGACCACCAAGGCGACGAUCAGUAGGGGUUCUGAGAGGAAGGUCCCCCACACUGGCACUGAGAUACGGGCCAGACUCCUACGGGAGGCAGCAGUAGGGAAUAUUGGGCAAUGGACGAGAGUCUGACCCAGCCAUGCCGCGUGCAGGAAGACGGCGUUCUGCGUUGUAAACUGCUUUUAUCUGGGAAGAAAAGGCCCAUGCGUGGGACAUUGCCGGUACCAGAUGAAUAAGCACCGGCUAACUCCGUGCCAGCAGCCGCGGUAAUACGGAGGGUGCAAGCGUUGUCCGGAUUUAUUGGGUUUAAAGGGUGCGUAGGCGGCUAUUUAAGUCAGUGGUGAAAGACUCCGGCUCAACCGGAGCAGUGCCAUUGAUACUGGAUAGCUUGAGUAUUGGAGAGGUACAUGGAAUUGAUGGUGUAGCGGUGAAAUGCAUAGAUACCAUCAGGAACACCGAUAGCGAAGGCAUUGUACUGGCCAAUAACUGACGCUGAUGCACGAAAGCAUGGGGAGCGAACAGGAUUAGAUACCCUGGUAGUCCAUGCCGUAAACGAUGAUUACUCGCUGUUAUGGCUUUAUGUUGUAGCGGCCAAGCGAAAGCGUUAAGUAAUCCACCUGGGGAGU
Molecule: ribosomal RNA, 782 nt
Filed under: Algoriphagus halophilus
Lineage: Bacteria; Pseudomonadati; Bacteroidota; Cytophagia; Cytophagales; Cyclobacteriaceae
Description: bacterial SSU rRNA
Rfam family: Bacterial small subunit ribosomal RNA
Source: RNAcentral